Molecule: non-coding RNA, 533 nt
Organism: Rhinichthys klamathensis goyatoka
Lineage: Eukaryota; Metazoa; Chordata; Actinopteri; Cypriniformes; Leuciscidae
Source: the annotation of a RefSeq genome assembly
GCUGCUUUACUGAAGACCUCAGUAGUGUUCAUGGCAUGAGCAUCAUCCAACAUGAUUAGAUUUGUAUUUAAAAUCAUCUUCUUCCUGAGCUGGUUUACAGGUUUCCUGAUCUGUGAGAAGGUGCACCAGUCCCCUUCAGAUGUGCUGUGUGAACCCAAGAAGUCUGUAGAGCUGACCUGCAAACAUAACAUUAAUAACUAUGACACAAUUUUGUGGUAUAAGAGGUCCUAUGGAGAUUCUAGCCUGAAACUCAUCGGCUAUGCACGAUAUAGCAACUUAAAAGACUUUGAGGAAUCGUAUAAGGAUUAUUUCAGUUUAACUGGAAAUGGAGAAGAACAAGUUACUUUAAAGAUUCUUGAAGCAAGACCAGACGAGGACAGUGCAGAGUAUUUCUGUGCAGCGUCGUAUGCACAAUGCCACAAAAAUCCUCUCUUCCAUGACAAAAACUGCUCUCUUAUCUUCAUGCAUCAUGAUACACCUGCGUGAAACCACGUGCGCGAGUUCUAGAAAACAUCAUUCAACACAAUCAGCUA